UCUUGCUCCACGCCCCACGCCCCACGCCCCCACUACUCAACAUCUCAACCCUAACCCCCAAUUCGUUCUCUCUCUCCCCUCUGAUAACUGCAGAAAGAAUUAUUUUUUGUCAUCUAAAUCUUGCAACCCUUUGCAAUCAUUUUCAUAGCUUUCUUUGCUCGAAGCAUGGUCUACUUCAUAUAAGGAACAAAAAAUUGGUGUCUUGAUAACCUGGUAAAGAAAGUGAGACAAGCUUUUGAAGGAAGUGAACUGGUUAAGGUUGACUGUCGAGGAUUAGGAGCCAGUGACAACGAGAAGAUUGGGGCAAAACUAAUGGUACUCGAAAAUAAUAAUAAAAGUCCAACAGAUCAAGAACAAGAGGACACUACUUGAGGCUUCAAAUUGACUACCAUCAUUGUUUUGCUAGAUCUUAGUAUUACUUAGUUUUGUAAACAUUUUUAGUGUGUUUUAAUUUUGUGGUAUUUUUAGUGACAUAUUAGUUAUGAAGUAUUAUUGAUGAACGUGUGUAGGAAUUUUAAUUGUGCGAACUACGUUUAUGAUUUAUGAUUACAUAUACAUUGUUCGAAGUAUUUUUAUGUAAUUCUUCAAGUUUCAUUGUUGACUUUA
This is a long non-coding RNA of Beta vulgaris subsp. vulgaris (sugar beet), 606 nucleotides long. RefSeq lists it as uncharacterized. Lineage: Eukaryota; Viridiplantae; Streptophyta; Magnoliopsida; Caryophyllales; Amaranthaceae. The transcript is spliced from 3 exons. The record is from RefSeq and is a predicted model, not a curated record.